This 72-nucleotide transfer RNA is filed under the name Ovis aries (sheep). It matches the Rfam family "tRNA". Rfam says of the family: Transfer RNA (tRNA) molecules are approximately 80 nucleotides in length. Their secondary structure includes four short double-helical elements and three loops (D, anti-codon, and T loops). The record is from Rfam by way of RNAcentral. Lineage: Eukaryota; Metazoa; Chordata; Mammalia; Artiodactyla; Bovidae.
UCCCAGGUGGCUCAGAUGGCAAAGCGUCUGCCUGCAAUGCAGAAGACCCAGGUUCGAUUCCCGGGUUGGGAA